CUGGGUGUAGCGCAGUCCGGUUAGCGUGUGCGGUUCGGAGCCGUGAGGUCGUAGGUUCAAAUCCUACCAUCCAGACCA
RNAcentral lists this transfer RNA (78 nucleotides) under Sphingobium phage Lacusarx. RNAcentral's name for it is "tRNA-Pro". It matches the Rfam family "tRNA". From Rfam's summary of the family: Transfer RNA (tRNA) molecules are approximately 80 nucleotides in length. Their secondary structure includes four short double-helical elements and three loops (D, anti-codon, and T loops). The record is from RNAcentral. Lineage: Duplodnaviria; Heunggongvirae; Uroviricota; Caudoviricetes.